UCUCCCGUGAGGGAGCAGUCUCGCCUGACACUUAUAACAGGCAACGAGGGUUGCGUUCGUUUCCCCACUUAAGGGAACAACUCAAGCCACGAACUGACGACGGCCAUGCAUCACCUGCCAUACACCCUCGAAGGCUUCCUCCCUUUCAGGAGGCGUGCAGUAUGGUUUCUAGCCUUGGUAAGGUUUUUCGCUUAACUACGAAUUAAGCCACGCGCUCCACCGCUUGUGCGAGCCCCCGUCUAUUCCUUUGAGUUUUAAGCUUGCGCUCGUACUACCCAGGCGGUCCGCUUACUGCGUUAGCUUCGCCACUAAGAGGGUCGAUACUCCUAAUAGCUAGCGGACAACGUUUAGGGCGUAGACUAC
Molecule: unclassified non-coding RNA, 363 nt
Filed under: uncultured bacterium
Lineage: Bacteria
Description: contains 16S-23S intergenic spacer region
Source: RNAcentral